UACGGGGGGGGCAAGCGUUGUUCGGAAUUACUGGGCGCAAAGGGCUCGUAGGUGGCCAACUAAGUCGGACGUGAAAUCCCUCGGCUUAACCGGGGAACUGCGUCCGAUACUGGUUGGCUUGAGUUCGGUAGGGGAGACUGGAAUUCCUGGUGUAGCGGUGAAAUGCGCAGAUAUCAGGAGGAACACCGGUGGCGAAGGCGGGUCUCUGGGCCGAUACUGACGCUGAGGAGCGAAAGCGUGGGGAGCGAACAGG
Molecule: ribosomal RNA, 253 nt
Filed under: uncultured bacterium
Lineage: Bacteria
Description: partial 16S ribosomal RNA
Rfam family: Bacterial small subunit ribosomal RNA
Source: RNAcentral